This 252-nucleotide ribosomal RNA is filed under the name uncultured bacterium. RNAcentral describes it as "partial 16S ribosomal RNA". It matches the Rfam family "Bacterial small subunit ribosomal RNA", at positions 524 to 776 of the family's 1533-position model. The record is from RNAcentral.
UACGUAGGGGGCAAGCGUUGUCCGGAAUCAUUGGGCGUAAAGCGCGCGUAGGCGGCCCUGUAAGUCCGUUGUGAAAGUCGAAGGCUCAACCUUCGAAAGCCGAUGGAUGCUGCAGGCUAGAGUCCGGAAGAGGCGAGUGGAAUUCCUGGUGUAGCGGUGGAAUGCGCAGAUAUCAGGAGGAACACCAAUAGCGAAGGCAGCUCGCUGGGACGGUACUGACGCUAAGGCGCGAAAGCGUGGGGAGCGAACAGG